Molecule: ribosomal RNA, 254 nt
Filed under: uncultured bacterium
Lineage: Bacteria
Description: partial 16S ribosomal RNA
Rfam family: Bacterial small subunit ribosomal RNA
Source: RNAcentral
UACGUAGGGUGCGAGCGUUAAUCGGAAUUACUGGGCGUAAAGCGUGCGCAGGCGGUUCGUUGUGUCGGUGGUGAAAUCCCCGGGCUUAACCUGGGAAUGGCCAUGGAAACUGGCGAACUGGAGUGCGGCAGAGGGGGGUGGAAUUCCGCGUGUAGCAGUGAAAUGCGUAGAGAUGCGGAGGAACACCGAUGGCGAAGGCAGCCCCCUGGGCUAGCACUGACGCUGAGUGAGCGAAAGCCAGGGGAGCAAACGGG